This 502-nucleotide ribosomal RNA is filed under the name uncultured bacterium. RNAcentral's name for it is "partial 16S ribosomal RNA". It matches the Rfam family "Bacterial small subunit ribosomal RNA", at positions 899 to 1397 of the family's 1533-position model. The record is from RNAcentral.
ACUCAAAGGAAUAGACGGGGGCCCGCACAAGCGGCGGAGCAUGCGGAUUAAUUCGAUGCAACGCGAAGAACCUUACCUGGGUUUGACAUACGCCGGAAACGUCCAGAGAUGGGCGCCCUUUUGUCGGUGUACAGGUGGUGCAUGGCUGUCGUCAGCUCGUGUCGUGAGAUGUUGGGUUAAGUCCCGCAACGAGCGCAACCCUCGUUCCAUGUUGCCAGCACGCCCUUCGGGGUGGUGGGGACUCAUGGGAGACUGCCGGGGUCAACUCGGAGGAAGGUGGGGAUGACGUCAAGUCAUCAUGCCCCUUAUGUCCAGGGCUUCACGCAUGCUACAAUGGCCGGUACAAAGGGCUGCGAUGCCGUAAGGUGGAGCGAAUCCCAAAAAGCCGGUCUCAGUUCGGAUUGGGGUCUGCAACUCGACCCCAUGAAGUCGGAGUCGCUAGUAAUCGCAGAUCAGCAACGCUGCGGUGAAUACGUUCCCGGGCCUUGCACACACCGCCCGU